Non-coding RNA from Heterocephalus glaber (naked mole-rat), 3670 nucleotides. The record is from RefSeq and is a predicted model, not a curated record. Lineage: Eukaryota; Metazoa; Chordata; Mammalia; Rodentia; Bathyergidae.
GUCUGGGGGCACCGGAGGCCAUCUUGGGGGCGCUGGGGCUAGUGGCCUGCGGCUGUCCCCCGACCGGGGCUCGCGAGAGCCGCCUGCUUGAGCAUCUCCUCCGCUGCCCUUCACCUGCCCACCAGCGUACUCGCCGUCGUCGGCGCCUCCGUCACCUCUUCUCGCGUCUAUUUUCUGUUUUUCCCAGUCUGGGAUUCUCUCCCCAUCUCCUGUGUUCCACAAUUAUUUUCCAUCUUGACACCUUUUUUUUUUUUUUUCUAAUAAUCGUCAUCUUCUAACUCAUGUAGUUUUAAAAAGUCAUUUUCAUCAUUUCGUCUCCCGACCCACGUUGAGCUCCGCCUCGGCGAGGUCUCCUGCCUGUUUGCUGCAGAACGCCCCGGACAGCGGCCGACGGUGAUUAGGUGCUGAUACCUAUUAGCUGAAUGAGUGACUGAGAACCGGACGGUCUUGCUAUGUAGCCCAGGCUGGCCUCGAACUUGUGGCAAUGCUCCUGCCUCAGCCUCCUGAGCGUUGGGAUUACAGGGCCUGAGCCCAGCCCUGGCCACCUCCCAGCUUCCUCCGGUUGUGAAAGCGGCCUUCGAGUCCUGUGUCCACACGAGGGCGAGGGCGAAGCGGCCUGGGCUCCGCGGCCCGGAAGACGUCCGGGUGACGCAAGAGGUGAAAGAAUUUCAUUUAGGGCGGGCUCAGCCCCCCUAUGGCAACCGCCGACUCAGGACUCAGGGUCCCUCCAGGGUGCCGAGCUUUAAAAGCCUAGGUGUGAGCUUGGCCCUGCCACCUACCUGUGUCCUCUUACACAGGUUGAGUGAGGCUUCUGAGCUAUGCCCGGGCCUGUGUCACGUUCUUGUUACGGCUCAGUGCCGGCCGGCACGGAGCACUCGAUGCCUGCCAAGCACACAGUGCUGGUGUCGGCGCACGCGUACGAGUCUCACAGCUCUGUGAGGAGGUCCUAUGACUUCUUCAGUUUACAGACUAGGAGGUAAGGAACCUGAAGGCGAAGCAGUUUACCCACACGCAUAGCUAGCAAAGGGCAAUCCGAACAACUUUUGUAGUAUUGGCAGGAAGAUAAAACGAGGUAAUGUGCAUAAAAUAUCUGAGAUGGAAAGGAACUCUGUAAAUACCUCCUUGUAUUAGUUAUAAUUAAGCUUGGCUACAGAAAACAAAGUCUAAGUAAGAGUGAUUUAAAGGAACUAAAAGGAUUUUUUUCUCCCUAAUCUGGAAGAAAUUCAAAAUAGGCAAGCUGCAGCUGGGCAUGGUGGGGCACACCUGUAAUCCCAGCACUGGGGAGGCUGAGGCAGGGGGAUCUUCAGGAUUUCAAGGUCAGCCUGAGUUACAUAGUGAGACCCUUGCCUAAUAGGCAAGCUGAGGCUGGGAGGGCUCCAUACAAUCAGCGGUCAGGCUCCUUCCAGCUCUGCUCUGCUAUCCCUUGCUCAUGACUUUCAUUCCCAGCAUUGCCUCCUGGCAGCAGGAUGCUAGUCUAGACGCCACACCUGUGUUCUAGCAGCAGGAAUGAGGACGAAGCAAAGACAGAAGGGGAGGUCCUCUGAGAAAAGUCAGCUCACUUUAAUAAGCUUUCCAAGGAGCUCCAGCCAAAUGCUCCCCCCUCCACCUCAGUGCCACUGCCAUCAUCUAUGGAGUCUAUGAGGUGCCGUUUUCAGCUGGGCACAUUGCUGCCCUUGAUAAUGGGGGUUCUGUUUCUAAGGAAGUUUGGGAGAUUGUGCUGCUGGCGCUGGCGGUCACCCUUCUCUUGGCCCUCAGAUGUCAGUGUCACUGCUCAUCCUAGACACCUAAAGUUCAGUCUUCUCAUUUGACAGUCUUUCUGUUAUUGUCUCCAUUUCUUUCCGAUCUCUCAAACCUUUCAUUAUUCAAUAGGCAACUGUGACCAUUCACCCUGAUAUGUCAUUUUAAUGGAUUAGGAAAUGCCUGGCAGCUUUGUAAAGCAGGUUCCUGGGUGUCUGGUGAGUCACAGAGGCCUGACGCUGGGUCAUCCCUUCCCCUCUGGCACUGGUCCCCUGCUCUGCUCCCUGGCCAACAUGAACCAGCAGCUUUGCUCUGCACACCCUUCUGCCAUGAUGUUUCCGCCCAAGAACCAGCUGACCAUGGACUGAUUCCUCUGAAAGCGUGAGCUAAAUUAUAUCUUUCCUACUUUAAAUUGUGACUGUCAGGUAUUGUGCCUCAGCCAUGGGAAAGUGGACUAAUACAGAGACAAACAAGAAAGAACUCUCUUUGUGGCCCACAAGUUGAAAAUGGUUCUUUUGAAGUUGGGCACAGUGGUGCACUCCUGUAAUCCCAGCACCCUGGAAGGCUGUAGCAGGAGGAUCUCUGUGAGCUUGAGCCCAGCCUGUGCUACAUUGGAGUUCAAGGCCAGCCUGAACUACAUAGCAAGACCUUGUCUCAAAAAAAAAAAAUUUAUUUUUUUAAAAAAGGGCUGAAUAUGUAGCUUAGUGUAGAGGACAUGGAUUUGAUUCCAGUACUGGAAAAAAAAAUGUUGGUUGAUUCUGAAGCUGAAAGCCCAGGCCUUACUGAAUAUGCUCGCCUUUGGGGCAGCCUCACAUGAGGGGUCGCCCGUCCAGAGGCUUUUUUUUUUGGUACCAGGGAUCGAACUUGGGACCUUGCACUUGCAGACAGGUGGUGGCACCACUGAGCUAAAUCCCGACCCCUGAGACAUCUUUUCCGGGCUGAGACCGCCUGCCUGGCAUCUACUGUGCUCAAGUCCUUCUGGGAACAGUUUCCUGCCCUCUGCAGCCCUGGAGCUGCCCUGCUUGAACGCAGCAAAGGCUCGUGGGCAGCUGAUGACCAGCGGGUCGCUAAAGCCACUUUCUCAGGACUUAGAGGGAACAGCCUGCCGAUCUACCCACCUUUCUCCCACACCAGAGAACUGACCCUCAAAAGAAAUCCUGUAAAGCCAAGGAAACUGCCGGCUUCCAGCCCUGCAGUUUUAUUUAAUUAGGUUUGAAGUGGAGAGUGAUGAACUGGAUGUGUAUCCUCAAAGGUCAGGACAGCUGCAGAUAAGGAGAGGAGGGGACAGGCAGGCGGCCAACCACUGUGAAAGUGCCACGGAAGCCCAGAGAGACGGUGGAGGACAGCAGCGGCAGGAAGGACACGGCAGCAGAGGGAGUGUGGGUUCUGCAGCAGAAAGAACUGAAGGGAUCAGCCCCUCGUAUGCCCUUCCUGCACAGGUAGCCUUCUCAUCAAGCCUUCAUUGUGCUGAACUGAAGUAACCAGUCCACUCGCAGCAUUCCCUCCAGCGUGCAUUGCCCAGUGGGCCCCGUGGGCACCUGAGACGUGGUCCAUGCAAGGGGAAGACCCCGGUCCCGCGGCGGCCUCAGAAGUCCCAUCUGCAAGCUGCUCUCUCACCCUGAUUGCUGGAUUCUCUCUGAUUCAGGGUAGAAACCUGCAGAAAGACUUCCCGAAUAGGAAAACCCACCAGAGCUGCAGUUUUCAGACUGGGUGGCAAAAUCAGUGGGACAAGGAGCAUUAGGAAAGGAAGAAGAAAGGAAAGAAGGAAGAAGCUGGAACAAAAGAGAAUGCAACGAUACCACCUAGGAGAAUCGGGAUUCUUUCCUGAAACUCGAAUCAUAAAAAGAAUACGGUGUGUUGUACAUUUGGAAUCGAGGUGUUGAAUACACGUCUUACUCGGGUUGCUGUCAAAAAAUGUUUGAAAGCCACUGGC